CCUACGGGACGCAGCAGUGGGGAAUAUUACACAAUGGGCGCAAGCCUGAUGCAGCCAUGCCGCGUGUAUGAAGAAGGCCUUUGGGUUGUAAAGUACUUUCAGUUGGGAGGAAGGCGUUGAUGCUAAUAUCAUCAACGAUUGGCGUUACCAACAGAAGAAGCACCGGCUAACUCCGUGCCAGCAGCCGCGGUAAUACGGAGGGUGCAAGCGUUAAUCGGAAUUACUGGGCGUAAAGCGCACGCAGGCGGUUGAUUAAGUUAGAUGUGAAAUCCCCGGGCUUAACCUGGGAAUGGCAUCUAAGACUGGUCAGCUAGAGUCUUGUAGAGGGGGGGUAGAAUUCCAUGUGUAGCGGUGAAAUGCGUAGAGAUGUGGAGGAAUACCGGUAGCGAAGGCGGCCCCCUGGGCAAAGACUGACGCUCAGGUGCGAAAGCGUGGGGAGCAAACAGGAUUAGAUACCCCGGUAGUC
This 466-nucleotide ribosomal RNA is filed under the name uncultured bacterium. RNAcentral describes it as "bacterial SSU rRNA". It matches the Rfam family "Bacterial small subunit ribosomal RNA", at positions 338 to 795 of the family's 1533-position model. The record is from RNAcentral.